UAAUACGUACCGGACAAACGUUAUUCGGAAUCACUGGGCUUAAAGAGUGCGUAGGCGGCCUAGCAGGCGAGGUGUGAAAUCCCACGGCUCAACCGUGGAAUUGCGCUUCGAACCGCUAGGCUCGAGGGAGACAGGGGUGAGUGGAACUGAUGGUGGAGCGGUGAAAUGCGUUGAUAUCAUCAGGAACACCAGUGGCGAAGGCGACUCACUGGGUCUCUACUGACGCUGAGGCACGAAAGCUAGGGGAGCAAACGGG
Molecule: ribosomal RNA, 256 nt
Filed under: uncultured bacterium
Lineage: Bacteria
Description: partial 16S ribosomal RNA
Rfam family: Bacterial small subunit ribosomal RNA
Source: RNAcentral